GUCGGCUACUCAGAACAGCUAGGCUGCUCUCCUGACUGGGUCCUGGAGGGGUUUUGCUUACCUGUAAUUGAAAAAAAGACUACGAGGAAACGAGGUAACACCAGCCUACAGUAAGGGGUGAAACGACUGUGUGACCUGGGCUGCAAACUCAGAAUGGUCUUCUCCCACAUUGUCCACUACGGGAAAGUAGAACAUUGGCUGCACCAUUCCCACCUCUUGACUGGCUUCUAAUGCCACUACUGUCUUUUAGCUACAGACCAUGACGCCCACCAAUUUCCUAUGAAUACCUGGGAGUUCAAUCUUGGUGGGGGACAAUAAAGUAUAUCAUAUAUCUCAGCUCUUCCACUCAUUCCAUUCUAUGGAGACAAAGGAUGCCAGGAGAAAAGGUUAAGGUGAGUCCAUGUGUUCAAGUACAUCAAGUAAGACUCAAAUAAACCCCUUAAAGGGGUAGUUCACCCAAA
This is a long non-coding RNA of Oncorhynchus masou masou (cherry salmon), 461 nucleotides long. RefSeq lists it as uncharacterized. The transcript has 3 exons. The record is from RefSeq and is a predicted model, not a curated record. NCBI's taxonomy places the organism in Eukaryota, Metazoa, Chordata, Actinopteri, Salmoniformes, Salmonidae.